This 489-nucleotide ribosomal RNA is filed under the name uncultured bacterium. RNAcentral describes it as "bacterial SSU rRNA". It matches the Rfam family "Bacterial small subunit ribosomal RNA", at positions 26 to 507 of the family's 1533-position model. The record is from RNAcentral.
AGGACGAACGCUGGCGGCGUGCCUAACACAUGCAAGUCGAACGGAGUAAAGCGCUGAAAAGAAGGUAGCUUGCUACUGAAUUUCUUGUUUACUUAGUGGCGAACGGGUGAGUAACGCGUGAGGAACCUGCCUUUCAGUGGGGGACAACAGUUGGAAACGACUGCUAAUACCGCAUGAUACUUUUUGGAGGCAUCUCUGAAAAGUCAAAGAUUUAUUGCUGAAAGAUGGCCUCGCGUCUGAUUAGCUAGUUGGCGGGGUAACGGCCCACCAAGGCGACGAUCAGUAGCCGGUCUGAGAGGAUGAACGGCCACAUUGGGACUGAGAUACGGCCCAGACUCCUACGGGAGGCAGCAGUGGGGAAUAUUGGGCAAUGGGCGCAAGCCUGACCCAGCAACGCCGUGUGAGGGAAGAAGGUCCUCGGAUUGUAAACCUUUGUCUUAUGGGACGAUAAUGACGGUACCAUAGGAGGAAGUCACGACUAACUACGUG